Molecule: ribosomal RNA, 482 nt
Filed under: uncultured bacterium
Lineage: Bacteria
Description: partial 16S ribosomal RNA
Rfam family: Bacterial small subunit ribosomal RNA
Source: RNAcentral
AGUGAACGCUGGCGGCAUGCUUUACACAUGCAAGUCGAACGGUAACAGGCCGCAAGGUUCUGACGAGUGGCGAACGGGUGAGUAAUGCAGCGGAACGUGCCCAGUCGUGGGGGAUAACGACGCGAAAGAUUAGCUAGCACCGCAUACGAUCGCUGGAUAACAGCGGGGGACCGUAAGGGCUCGUCCGAUUGGACCCGCCGAUGUCAGAUUAGGUAGUUGGUGGGGUAAAGGCUCACCAAGCCAACGAUCUGUAGCUGGUCUGAGAGGACAACCAGCCACACUGGAACUGAGACACGGCCCAGACUCCUACGGGAGGCAGCAGUGGGGAAUUUUGGACAAUGGGCGCAAGCCUGAUCCAGCAAUGCCGCGUGCAGGAAGAAGGCCUUCGGGUUGUAAACUGCUUUUGUACGGAACGAAACGGCUCUGGUUAAUACCCGGGGCUAAUGACGGUACCGUAAGAAUAAGCACCGGCUAACUACGUG